UACGGGAGGCAGCAGUGGGGAAUAUUGCACAAUGGGCGAAAGCCUGAUGCAGCUAUGCCGCGUGUAUGAAGAAGGCCUUAGGGUUGUAAAGUACUUUCAUCGGGGAGGAAAAAACAAAACUAAUAAUUUUAUUUCUUGACGUUACCCGAAAAAGAAGCACCGGCUAACUCCGUGCCAGCAGCCGCGGUAAUACGGAGGGUGCUAGCGUUAAUCAGAAUUACUGGGCGUAAAGAGCACGUAGGUGGUUUUUUUUAAGUCAGAUGUGAAAUCCCUGGGCUUAACCUAGGAACUGCAUUUUGAAACUGAAAUACUAGAGUAUCGUAGAGGGAGGUAGAAUUCUAGGUGUAGCGGUGAAAUGCGUAGAUAUCUGGAGGAAUACCUGUGGCGAAAGCGGCCUCCUAAACGAAUACUGACACUGAGGUGCGGAAAGCGUGGGGAGCAAACAGGGAUUAGAUACC
RNAcentral lists this ribosomal RNA (458 nucleotides) under uncultured bacterium. RNAcentral describes it as "bacterial SSU rRNA". It matches the Rfam family "Bacterial small subunit ribosomal RNA", at positions 340 to 786 of the family's 1533-position model. The record is from RNAcentral.